UACGUAGGUGGCAAGCGUUUGUCCGGAAUUAUUGGGCGUAAAGCGCGCGCAGGCGGCCUCUUAAGUCUGAUGUGAAAGCCCCCCGGCUCAACCGGGGAGGGCCAUUGGAAACUGGGAGGCUUGAGUAUAGGAGAGAAGAGUGGAAUUCCACGUGUAGCGGUGAAAUGCGUAGAGAUGUGGAGGAACACCAGUGGCGAAGGCGACUCUUUGGCCUAUAACUGACGCUGAGGCGCGAAAGCGUGGGGAGCAAACAGG
RNAcentral lists this ribosomal RNA (255 nucleotides) under uncultured bacterium. RNAcentral describes it as "partial 16S ribosomal RNA". It matches the Rfam family "Bacterial small subunit ribosomal RNA", at positions 524 to 776 of the family's 1533-position model. The record is from RNAcentral.